Long non-coding RNA from Raphanus sativus (radish), 1165 nucleotides. RefSeq lists it as uncharacterized. The transcript has 4 exons. NCBI's taxonomy places the organism in Eukaryota, Viridiplantae, Streptophyta, Magnoliopsida, Brassicales, Brassicaceae. The record is from RefSeq and is a predicted model, not a curated record.
ACUUGGAGCUUAGAAACCGUCGACUUAACGAUUCCUUUUCACCUUCUCCGGGCGACAUAACGCUACCUAAUUAUGACCUUCAAUCACGCUCCCAUGACUUCCUCUUCAUUUCUUCUCUAAUUCGUUUUUGAGAAUCUUAAUUCAGUGUUAUAAAUACUUUCUGAGAGUCCCCUGCAAAAUCUUCGAUCGAACUUGUUUGCCCCAGUCUCUCUUAAUCGACGAUUGUGAUAAUGGCAAGUUCUCAUCUUAAAUUCUCUGACUUGAAGCGAGGGCUGUAGACAGUUAGUCUAGGCUCGACUUCUCCGCUUCUGGUAAGCCUGAAAUGUAAAGAAAGCCAGUGAGCUGAUGGGUAUUGAUAUGCUUCUCAUUGCUGGAAGGAUACGCGAGUCCAAGCAUCAAUUAGUGUGCACAUGAUCAACACCUUGAAAUACAUAUUGAAGGAAGGCUCUCUGUAUGAGCUUAGUGUUUUUGUUGUCACAAUAUGCAACCCAGCUUACUUUUUGGAGAAAGCCAUCUUUCUAUUAGAUUUACAGAUAGAACAGUUUUUCUUGAGGUCUCUGAAACGCUAAAACGGAUCCCUAUAAAGAGUUUUAGGUUCCUGCAAUAAGAAACUGAGGAAGAUCCAAACGAGAUGAAGAAUCUGACAGGAAUGGGACUAUCAAAUCAAAAGUUGUAUCCAUACGCUCAAAGGGCACAUCCACAAUGUAUGUACAGGCUAGAGUUUGUUUUUUCUAUUUUGUCUUUUAGUUUGUUAUAUCUAUUUUAUAUACUUUUCAGGCUAGAGAACACUCUGAAUUAUGUUCUCGAGAGUUUUUGGACCUUUGGUUACAUAAAAUGUUCGGGCCUGGUUGUGCUUGGAUAUGAUGAAGGAAUAACCAUCAUGGUUAAACAUACUACCUAGACCAAAGAAUGAUAAACCGCCAAUGUCAAAUAUCAGCAGACUAUUACAAUCAACCACUAUGAUUACUUCCUCUAUAAUAUACCCCAUUCCUGUUAAUUAACAAUAUAGAAUGUGUUACCUGCACGUUAAAAUUAUGAAUCUACAACCAGCUGAUAACGCAGCUAUAUUAAUGGUUGGCUAAUCUUAAACUCAUAAAUGGCCCAACUUGAUUUGCUAACACAUUAGGUCCCCCAAAAAUAACAAAAACUCUACCGGAUAAUGAAA